Molecule: transfer RNA, 64 nt
Filed under: Dolicheulota formosensis
Lineage: Eukaryota; Metazoa; Mollusca; Gastropoda; Stylommatophora; Camaenidae
Description: tRNA-His
Source: RNAcentral
AUUACAAUUAAGAUAUAUUAAUCUGAGGAUUUGUGGAAUCCGAAAUGCUUUAGAGCAUGUAAUC